This 486-nucleotide ribosomal RNA is filed under the name uncultured bacterium. RNAcentral describes it as "partial 16S ribosomal RNA". It matches the Rfam family "Bacterial small subunit ribosomal RNA", at positions 29 to 507 of the family's 1533-position model. The record is from RNAcentral.
AUUGAACGCUGGCGGCAUGCCUUACACAUGCAAGUCGAACGGCAGCACGGGUGCUUGCACCUGGUGGCGAGUGGCGAACGGGUGAGUAAUACAUCGGAACAUGUCCUGUAGUGGGGGAUAGCCCGGCGAAAGCCGGAUUAAUACCGCAUACGAUCUACGGAUGAAAGCGGGGGACCUUCGGGCCUCGCGCUAUAGGGUUGGCCGAUGGCCGCUUAGCUAGUUGGUGGGGUCAAGGCCUACCAAGGCGACGAUCAGUAGCUGGUCUGAGAGGACGACCAGCCACACGGGGACUGAGACACGGCCCAGACUCCGACGGGAGGCAGCAGUGGGGAAUUUUGGACAAUGGGCGAAAGCCUGAUCCAGCAAUGCCGCGUGUGUGAAGAAGGCCUUCGGGUUGUAAAACACUUUUGUCCGGAAAGAAAUCCUUGGCCCUAAUACGGUCGGGGGAUGACGGUACCGGAAGAAUAAGCACCGGCUAACUACGUG